CGAGCGCACUCUUCGGAGUGAGCGGCGGACGGGUUAGUAACGCGUGGGAACGUGCCCUUCUCUAAGGAAUAGCCACUGGAAACGGUGAGUAAUACCUUAUACGCCCUUCGGGGGAAAGAUUUAUCGGAGAAGGAUCGGCCCGCGUUAGAUUAGAUAGUUGGUGGGGUAACGGCCUACCAAGUCUACGAUCUAUAGCUGGUUUUAGAGGAUGAUCAGCAACACUGGGACUGAGACACGGCCCAG
This 243-nucleotide ribosomal RNA is filed under the name uncultured bacterium. Its description in RNAcentral is "partial 16S ribosomal RNA". It matches the Rfam family "Bacterial small subunit ribosomal RNA", at positions 63 to 334 of the family's 1533-position model. The record is from RNAcentral.